RNAcentral lists this ribosomal RNA (492 nucleotides) under uncultured bacterium. Its description in RNAcentral is "partial 16S ribosomal RNA". It matches the Rfam family "Bacterial small subunit ribosomal RNA", at positions 29 to 507 of the family's 1533-position model. The record is from RNAcentral.
AGUGAACGCUGGCGGUAGGCCUAACACAUGCAAGUCGAACGGCAGCACAGUAAGAGCUUGCUCUUACGGGUGGCGAGUGGCGGACGGGUGAGGAAUACAUCGGAAUCUACUUUUUCGUGGGGGAUAACGUAGGGAAACUUACGCUAAUACCGCAUACGACCUACGGGUGAAAGCAGGGGAUCUUCGGACCUUGCGCGAUUGAAUGAGCCGAUGUCGGAUUAGCUAGUUGGCGGGGUAAAGGCCCACCAAGGCGACAAUCCGUAGCUGGUCUGAGAGGAUGAUCAGCCACACUGGAACUGAGACACGGUCCAGACUCCUACGGGAGGCAGCAGUGGGGAAUAUUGGACAGUGGGCGCAAGCCUGAUCCAGCCAUACCGCGUGGGUGAAGAAGGCCUUCGGGUUGUAAAGCCCUUUUGUUGGGAAAGAAAAGCAGCAGGUUAAUACCCCGCUGUUCUGACGGUACCCAAAGAAUAAGCACCGGCUAACUUCGUG